This 1074-nucleotide small RNA is filed under the name Arabidopsis thaliana (thale cress). RNAcentral's name for it is "ATSL255070". Lineage: Eukaryota; Viridiplantae; Streptophyta; Magnoliopsida; Brassicales; Brassicaceae. The record is from RNAcentral.
UUUAUGUACUUAUAUUUUUAUUGUUUGACGUUUUCAUCUUUCACAGCUUUCCAAAUUUUUAUUGUAUUUCUUUUUUCUUUUCCGAUUCAAUUAUUACAGAAACGUUGACAACGUAAUCUCAUUAUUAAUUUUCAUCAUUUUCUGUGUAAAUGUCCGAUCAAACCGUAAAGAGACGAGUUGGUGAGACCGAGAAGCAAGCGAAUGUGGUAGAGUCCCGGUGAAGAGAUGACGCGACCUUCAACUCCAAUCGCAGAUCACGUUGGGUCUUAUCGAAGUAAAGAUAAAUUUUGUCUCUAGUUUGUUAGAUUUGAUUUCUGGGUAGAUCUAAGCUUGAUUCAAACGAAUUUGAGAGAGGUAAUCAUAUUUUCUAGUUUGGUAGAUUCGAGCUUGAUUUGAACGAUUCCGAGUGUUGUGUACUCUUUAAAUUGGUAGAUUCAAGUUUGAUUUCAACAAUUCUGGGUGUUGCAACGAAUUUGAUAGAAAAUUUGGUAAUUUAAAGGCAGGUGAAGUUUUCGAUUCUCUAGCCCUUUGAUGGAGAUGGGCUGUAAACGUCGGAGAUGGAGAAUGAAGGGCUAAUCUCCUCAAUUGAUUUGAUCAUUUUUUUGAGUGAUAUCCUUGGGUUUCCUAUAAAUUAUCUUCUUAGGGUUUAGUAUUGUUCCAUCAAAAAAAAAUUAAUUGAUUAUUUGAGUUCAUCAUAACCAACGUUUUGAUGCCGUGAGUUGUCGGAGAAGAAGAGAUGGAGAAGAUGGCUUCUGAUUGAGUGAAAUUGCAAGGGUAAUUUCGGCAGCCUAACUCACAUAAGUACCUUUAUCCAUAAGCCCAUUGUAAAUGUGUCUAAUUUCUAGUUUUUGGAUUAGAAAGUGCCAAUUCUCAAAAAGCCCCCAAAUAAAUACAUAAUUUUUUUUUUUUGCACCACUAAAUAUAUAAAUUUAAUAAAUUGAAAUUGCGUAGAUUUUUAUAAAAUAAAAGACAUGAGCAAAAAAUAAAAAGCUAAUUAAAGAAAACUUGUUAACAACCGACAAACUAAUUGCCACUGGUAAAUUUAAAAUCAUACGUAGUAUCUGUUAGGAACUG